This 499-nucleotide ribosomal RNA is filed under the name uncultured bacterium. RNAcentral describes it as "partial 16S ribosomal RNA". It matches the Rfam family "Bacterial small subunit ribosomal RNA", at positions 30 to 523 of the family's 1533-position model. The record is from RNAcentral.
AUUGAACGCUGGCGGCAUGCCUUACACAUGCAAGUCGAACGGCAGCGCGGACUUCGGUCUGGCGGCGAGUGGCGAACGGGUGAGUAAUACCUCGGAACGUACCCUGUUGUGGGGGAUAACUAGUCGAAAGAUUAGCUAAUACCGCAUACGACCUGAGGGUGAAAUGGGGGGACCGCAAGGCCUCACGCACCAGGCGCGGCCAAUGUCUGAUUAGUAGUUGGUAGGGUAAAGGCCUACCAAGCCUGCGAUCUGUAGCUGGUCUGAGGGGAUGAUCAGCCACACUGGGACUGAGACACGGCCCAGACUCCUACGGGAGGCAGCAGUGGGGAAUUUUGGACAAUGGGGGAAACCCUGAUCCAGCCAUGCCGCGUGCAGGAAGAAGGCCUUCGGGUUGUAAACUGCUUUUGUUAGGGAAGAAAUCUUGAGUGCUAAUACCACUUAGGGAUGACGGUACCUAAAGAAUAAGCACCGGCUAACUACGUGCCAGCCGCCGCCGUAA